GAUGAACGCUGGCGGCGUGCUUAACACAUGCAAGUCGAACGAUGAAGCCGGAGCUUGCUCUGGUGAAUUAGUGGCGAACGGGUGAGUAACACGUGAGUAACCUGCCCUUGACUCUGGGAUAGCUGCUAGAAAUGGUAGCUAAUACCGGAUACGACCCUCGGUGGCAUCACCAGGGGGUGGAAAGAAUUUCGGUCAAGGAUGGACUCGCGGCCUAUCAGCUAGUUGGUGAGGUAACGGCUCACCAAGGCGACGACGGGUAGCCGGCCUGAGAGGGUGACCGGCCACACUGGGACUGAGACACGGCCCAGACUCCUACGGGAGGCAGCAGUGGAGAAUAUUGCACAAUGGGCGCAAGCCUGAUGCAGCAACGCCGCGUGAGGGAUGACGGCCUUCGGGUUGUAAACCUCUUUUAGUAGGGAAGAAGCGAAAGUGACGGUACCUGCAGAAAAAGCACCGGCUAACUACGUGCCAGACGCAGAAAAAC
RNAcentral lists this ribosomal RNA (484 nucleotides) under uncultured bacterium. RNAcentral describes it as "partial 16S ribosomal RNA". It matches the Rfam family "Bacterial small subunit ribosomal RNA", at positions 28 to 526 of the family's 1533-position model. The record is from RNAcentral.